CACGAUCAUGAAACGGGUUGUACAUAUGAUUGCGCCAUACAAUAGAAACACAGAUUUGGCAGAGAGCUCAUGAUGUCACAACAGUAACACAGUGAGUCAAAAUUUCCACACAAGGAAAUGUCCAGAGUAGGUGUAGCGUUGCGGUGAGACGUUCCACACUCAUGAUUAAUCCUUCAUCGAAUGAAGUCUGGGGUUCGUGAUGAAACGCUUGCGUUAGCGCAGUCGCUUCAAAGCAUCUUUCAUCUUCUGUGAUCGUGGCCUCUUCAAGCACCGACUUUCCUCAGAAAGACAGUGGAAUUAUUCAUCGCCUGAUAAUGUGUGCUUGUAGUGAUGACAUUUAGACGCUGACGGACGUUGUUCGAUGUGCUCCACACAUGGGGAAAGGAUGCUUUGUUCCAGAUGACAAUUCAUUUACAGAUCUCACUACAGCAUUUAAAACAACUUCCAUAA
This is a long non-coding RNA of Thalassophryne amazonica, 450 nucleotides long. RefSeq lists it as uncharacterized. Lineage: Eukaryota; Metazoa; Chordata; Actinopteri; Batrachoidiformes; Batrachoididae. The transcript is spliced from 3 exons. The record is from RefSeq and is a predicted model, not a curated record.